AUAUUGCACAAUGGGGGGAACCCUGAUGCAGCGACGCCGCGUGGGUGAAGGAGUAUUUCAGUAUGUAAAGCCCUAUCGGCAGGGAAGAAUUUAGACGGUACCUGACUAAGAAGCCCCGGCUAACUACGUGCCAGCAGCCGCGGUAAUACGUAGGGGGCAAGCGUUAUCCGGAUUCACUGGGUGUAAAGGGAGCGUAGACGGCCAGGCAAGCCUGGAGUGAAAGCCCGGGGCCCAACCCCGGGACUGCUCUGGGAACUGUCCGGCUGGAGUGCGGGAGGGGCAGGCGGAAUUCCUGGUGUAGCGGUGAAAUGCGUAGAUAUCAGGAGGAACACCGGCGGCGAAGGCGGCCUGCUGGACCGCGACUGACGUUGAGGCUCGAAAGCGUGGGGAGCGAACAGG
Molecule: ribosomal RNA, 399 nt
Filed under: uncultured bacterium
Lineage: Bacteria
Description: bacterial SSU rRNA
Rfam family: Bacterial small subunit ribosomal RNA
Source: RNAcentral